RNAcentral lists this ribosomal RNA (362 nucleotides) under uncultured bacterium. RNAcentral's name for it is "bacterial SSU rRNA". It matches the Rfam family "Bacterial small subunit ribosomal RNA", at positions 29 to 426 of the family's 1533-position model. The record is from RNAcentral.
AACGAACGCUGGCGGCAGGCCUAACACAUGCAAGUCGAGCGCCCUCUUCGGAGGGAGCGGCGGACGGGUUAGUAACGCGUGGGAACGUACCCAGAUCUAAGGAAUAGCCACUGGAAACGGUGAGUAAUACCUUAUACGCCCUUCGGGGGAAAGAUUUAUCGGAUUUGGAUCGGCCCGCGUUAGAUUAGGUAGUUGGUGGGGUAACGGCCUACCAAGCCUACGAUCUAUAGCUGGUUUUAGAGGAUGAUCAGCAACACUGGGACUGAGACACGGCCCAGACUCCUACGGGAGGCAGCAGUGGGGAAUCUUGCAAUGGGCGCAAGCCUGACAGCCAUGCCGCGUGAGGAUGAGGCCUAGGGUGU